UGCAGGCAAUAAUAAGAAUUCUAUGUUCGCUAAUGGGACAUUUAAUGGGCUAUUAUUAGCUGUUCGUUUGGAUGCUUCUCAGAUGAAUUAACAUGCUUUUUAUUAUUUACAGAUUGUGGAUAAAGAUGUUACACCACUGGGUGUUUUUAUAUAAUGAUUACGCUGGACUGCCUUAAAGGUUGCUGGACCGUGAAUGUGUUUAGAGGUCACUGGACCAUAUGUUUAAGUGUCACUGGACGUACAUCUUAUAAGAUGUUUUACGUAUUUGCAUUGUGUAGUGUUGGUCACAGGACCAUAUAGAAAUCAUAACGAUUAUUUUGUUGCAGAACAUGAUAUUGUCCAAGAUUCUGUCAGGCAGUGUAUCUUGUGUUUUUGAUGGACUUUAUUAUUUUAGUUUGAUGGACUUAACCAGAUCAGAUACAUAUUGUAUUAGGAAAAUAAAAUUUAAGGUGGUCACUGCGCCAUUCAGUAUCCAAA
Long non-coding RNA from Mytilus californianus (California mussel), 477 nucleotides. RefSeq lists it as uncharacterized. The transcript is spliced from 2 exons. NCBI's taxonomy places the organism in Eukaryota, Metazoa, Mollusca, Bivalvia, Mytilida, Mytilidae. The record is from RefSeq and is a predicted model, not a curated record.